AUUGAACGCUGGCGGAAUGCUUUACACAUGCAAGUCGAACGGCAGCACGGGGGCAACCCUGGUGGCGAGUGGCGAACGGGUGAGUAAUACAUCGGAACGUGCCCAGUCGUGGGGGAUAACGUAGCGAAAGUUACGCUAAUACCGCAUACGAUCUAAGGAUGAAAGCGGGGGAUCGCAAGACCUCGCGCGAUUGGAGCGGCCGAUAUCAGAUUAGGUAGUUGGUGGGGUAAAGGCUCACCAAGCCAACGAUCUGUAGCUGGUCUGAGAGGACGACCAGCCACACUGGAACUGAGACACGGUCCAGACUCCUACGGGAGGCAGCAGUGGGGAAUUUUGGACAAUGGACGCAAGUCUGAUCCAGCCAUUCCGCGUGCAGGAUGAAGGCCCUCGGGUUGUAAACUGCUUUUGUACGGAACGAAAAGGUCUCUCUUAAUACGGGGGACUCAUGACGGUACCGUAAGAAUAAGCACCGGCUAACUACGUGCCAGCCGCCGCAGUAA
This 500-nucleotide ribosomal RNA is filed under the name uncultured bacterium. RNAcentral describes it as "partial 16S ribosomal RNA". It matches the Rfam family "Bacterial small subunit ribosomal RNA", at positions 30 to 523 of the family's 1533-position model. The record is from RNAcentral.